UAAUUAUGUUUAGGGGAAUUUAUUAAAGGUUUAUUUUAUAUAUAAAUUUUAGUAGUAAUUUUUUAUUAUUUUAAUAAUAAUAAUGAUAUAAAAUGUAGUAAAUAAAAUUAAAAAUUUAAGAAAUUAAGAUUUAGUAAUACAAAAAUUAGUAACAAAUUUUGUGCCAGCAGUUGCGGUUAUACAAAAAUUAAAUUAAAUUAUUUCAGUUUAUAAAAAAUAAAUUUUUUUGAAAAAUAAAUAUUAAAUUAUUAGGUAAAAUUUUAAUUUAAUUAAAUUUUAUAUAAAAAUUAUGUUUUAAUAAAUUUUAAUAUAAACUAGGAUUAGAUACCCUAUUAUUAAAAAUUUAAAUUAUAAUACUAAAAUAGUAGAUAAUUAUUUAUUGAAACUUAAAUAAUAUGGCGGUAUUUUAGUUCAUUUAGAGGAAUCUGUUUAAUAAUUGAUAAUCCACGAAUAAAUUUACUUAAUUUAAAAUUUUAUAUAUCGUUGUUAAAAAAAUAUUUUUAAUUAAUUAUAAUAUUUAAAAAUUAAAAUAAAAAAUUAAUUCAGAUCAAGAUGUAGAUUAUAAUUAAGAAUAUAAUGGAUUACAAUAAAUUUAUUUAAAUGAAUAUGAAAUUGAAAAAUUUUAUUGAAGGUGGAUUUAAAUGUAAUUUUAUUUAGUUUAUUAAAAUGAUUUAAAAUUAAAAUAUGUACAUAUUGCCCGUCACUUUCAUUUUAAAAUUGGAAUAAGUCGUAACAAAGUAGAGGUACUGGAAAGUGUUUCUAGAAAGAU
RNAcentral lists this non-coding RNA (769 nucleotides) under Idea leuconoe. The record is from RNAcentral. Lineage: Eukaryota; Metazoa; Arthropoda; Insecta; Lepidoptera; Nymphalidae.